GAUGAAGAACGCAGCGAAAUGCGAUACGUAAUGUGAAUUGCAAAUUCAGUGAAUCAUCGAGUCUUUGAACGCACAUUGCGCCCCCUGGUAUUCCGGGGGGCAUGCCUGUCCGAGCGUCAUUGCUGCCCUCAAGCACGGCUUGUGUGUUGGGCCCCGUCCUCCGAUUCCGGGGGACGGGCCCGAAAGGCAGCGGCGGCACCGCGUCCGGUCCUCGAGCGUAUGGGGCUUUGUCACCCGCUCUGUAGGCCCGGCCGGCGCUUGCCGAUCAACCCAAAUUUUUAUCCAGGUUGACCUCGGAUCAGGUAGGGAUACCCGCUGAACUUAAGCAUAUCAUAAGCGGAGGA
RNAcentral lists this unclassified non-coding RNA (344 nucleotides) under soil metagenome. Its description in RNAcentral is "partial contains 5.8S ribosomal RNA, internal transcribed spacer 2, and large subunit ribosomal RNA". The stretch from base 1 to 119 matches the Rfam family "5.8S ribosomal RNA", at positions 35 to 154 of the family's 154-position model. The record is from RNAcentral.